Molecule: ribosomal RNA, 702 nt
Filed under: Plasmopara viticola
Lineage: Eukaryota; Oomycota; Peronosporomycetes; Peronosporales; Peronosporaceae
Description: partial large subunit ribosomal RNA
Rfam family: Eukaryotic large subunit ribosomal RNA
Source: RNAcentral
GGGAUGAGCUCAAGCUUAAAAUCUCCGUGCAAUUUUUGCGCGGCGAAUUGUAGUCUAUAGAAGCGUGGUCAGUAUGGGCACUUGGGUUAAGUUCCUUGGAAGAGGACAGCAUGGAGGGUGAUACUCCCGUUCAUCCCUAAGUUGCUUGUGCGUACGACCCGUUUUCUUUGAGUCGCGUUGUUUGAGAAUGCAGCGCAAAGUAGGUGGUAAAUUCCAUCUAAAGCUAAAUAUUGGUGCGAGACCGAUAGCAUACAAGUACCGUGAGGGAAAGAUGAAAAGAACUUUGAAAAUAGAGUUAAAGAGUACCUGAAACUGCUGAAAGGUAACCAAAUCGUUUCCAGUGUCUAUAAUCCGUGGUAUAUUUCAUUGGCGAGCGUAUGCGUGCGUGUGCUGUUGCAGUGGCCUUUUGGCUGCGCUCGGCGUGUGUGCUGUGUGUGCUUGCUGGUGCCCUGUGCUAUGGUGGGACGUCAAGGUCAGUUCGUAUGCUGCGGGAAAUGGCCACUGAGGAGGUAGGGCUUACGCUUGCGUUUGUCUGUUAUAUCUUGGUGGACGAGUAGUCGCGGUUGGGACUGAGGUGCCUACAACGUGCUUUUGAGUGGAUUUGGGUCUCCGUGUGCGCCGUGUGCGGAUAGCUUGCUAUGCGUGUGUGGUUGUGUAUGGAUUGAUGCGAGUCGUAACUUGUAGCCGUUCGGGACGUUGACG